GAUGAACGCUGGCGGCGUGCCUAAUACAUGCAAGUCGAGCGGACGGACGAGAAGCUUGCUUCUCUGAUGUUAGCGGCGCACGGGUGAGUAACACGUGGAUAACCUACCUAUAAGACUGGGAUAACUUCGGGAAACCGGAGCUAAUACCGGAUAAUAUUUUGAACCGCAUGGUUCAAAAGUGAAAGACGGUCUUGCUGUCACUUAUAGAUGGAUCCGCGCUGCAUUAGCUAGUUGGUAAGGUAACGGCUUACCAAGGCAACGAUGCAUAGCCGACCUGAGAGGGUGAUCGGCCACACUGGAACUGAACCACGGUCCAGACUCCUGAGGGAGGCAGCAGUAGGGAAUCUUACGCAAUGGGCGAAAGCCUGACGGAACAACGCCGCGUGAGUGAUGAAGAUCUUCGGAUCGUAAAACUCUGUUAUUAGGGAAGAACAUAUGUGUAAGUAACUGUGCACAUCUUGACGGUACCUAAUCAGAAAGCCACGGCUAACUACGUG
This 497-nucleotide ribosomal RNA is filed under the name uncultured bacterium. RNAcentral describes it as "partial 16S ribosomal RNA". It matches the Rfam family "Bacterial small subunit ribosomal RNA", at positions 28 to 507 of the family's 1533-position model. The record is from RNAcentral.